Mus musculus (house mouse) is the source of this 1036-nucleotide long non-coding RNA. RefSeq annotates it as predicted gene, 40296. The record is from RefSeq and is a predicted model, not a curated record. NCBI's taxonomy places the organism in Eukaryota, Metazoa, Chordata, Mammalia, Rodentia, Muridae. The transcript has 4 exons.
CAACAUUCAGGGCUGACACUCCUUCCUUGGCUAAUCAUCUUUGGAAAUGUUCUUAUCCCACUCCACUCCUCCUUAUCAACAGCAGAGAUGUUUUCAACUGUGCUACUCAAUAAAAUCACAUUGAAGAUCAAGGUUAACCAUCACCUCUUUGAAGGAAGUGGAACCACUGUCUAAGGUUACAGUCAACAACACUAUUGGUACUUUGCAUGACUCCAACUCUUCUGUUUAUGAAAUAAGCACCAUUCUGUUUCUCAGAAACAUCACUAACCUGGGACCAUUCUGGAGUCUGGAAGUCCAAGUUCCAGGUGCCUGUACAGAGUGGUUUCUGGUGAAGCUUUCGGUUGCAGGAACGCCCUGAGGGGAAUCGUGAACCAAGGACCCUGCUCGGGAACUACAAAACCGUACCAGACUCUGCUGUUUCCCACCCCGGGAAAACAUCGACUGAGAACUCCCAUUAUGGACAUCACUCUACAUCCUCAGAGAGCAGCAAUGGAGGUGCUCCAGGCACCCCAGUGGCGAGGCAGCCCAGCAAGACUUUAUUACAUUUUCAACAUGGAUUCUUCCACUACAGGGAACUUUUAGGUCUUAAGCCUCAGACUGGAGCUAUAUUAUUGGUCCAGCUAUUUGAUUGGAUAGUUCCUCCCCCCCCCUUUUCUCUCCUCUCUCUCCUCCUUCCCCUCCUCCUCCCCCUCCUCCCUUCCUCCUCUGCUCCUCCUCCUCCUCUUAAGAGUGCAGACAGAUUUUAGGCAAACCAACCUCUAACAGGGUAAGCCAAACCUAUAAAUCCAUAUGUACAUGGAUAUUUUAUCUAUCUAUCAUCUAUCUAUCUAUCUAUCUAUCUAUCUAUCUAUCUAUCUAUCUACCUACCUACUCACCUACCUAUAUCUAUCCUGGAUCUGUUCUCAAACUUGACUAACACAAGCCCAUUGUUCAAAUGAAGCUGUGCAUAGAUAACACAGUCUAAAAUGGCCUUAGCAGGGUCCUCCAAGUCCCCUAUUUUCAGCUGUUCUUUGCCCUUGGCAGUGGUGGCUCCCAU